RNAcentral lists this ribosomal RNA (477 nucleotides) under Corynebacterium matruchotii. RNAcentral's name for it is "bacterial SSU rRNA". It matches the Rfam family "Bacterial small subunit ribosomal RNA", at positions 28 to 491 of the family's 1533-position model. Lineage: Bacteria; Bacillati; Actinomycetota; Actinomycetes; Mycobacteriales; Corynebacteriaceae. The record is from RNAcentral.
GACGAACGCUGGCGGCGUGCUUAACACAUGCAAGUCGAACGGAAAGGCCCGCAUCAUUUUUUUGGUGGGGGUGCUCGAGUGGCGAACGGGUGAGUAACACGUGGGUGAUCUGCCCUGUACUUCGGGAUAAGCUUGGGAAACUGGGUCUAAUACCGGAUAGGACCAUGGUUUAGUGUCUCAUGGUGGAAAGAUUAUUGUUUUGGUGCAGGAUGAGCUCGCGGCCUAUCAGCUUGUUGGUGGGGUAAUGGCCUACCAAGGCGUCGACGGGUAGCCGGCCUGAGAGGGUGGACGGCCACAUUGGGACUGAGAUACGGCCCAGACUCCUACGGGAGGCAGCAGUGGGGAAUAUUGCACAAUGGGCGCAAGCCUGAUGCAGCGACGCCGCGUGGGGGAUGACGGCCUUCGGGUUGUAAACUCCUUUCGUUAGGGACGAAGCCGCACCUUUUUUUGGGUGUGGUGACGGACCUUGUAAGAAGC